GCUCUCCCCUGAUGACUUGCACUGGGCUCUGAAUCUGGAUGGAGACGAAGUGCAUCUUUGGUUCUGACAAGCCAAAGUUUCUGAGGAGAAA
RNAcentral lists this small nucleolar RNA (91 nucleotides) under Echeneis naucrates (live sharksucker). The record is from RNAcentral. Lineage: Eukaryota; Metazoa; Chordata; Actinopteri; Carangiformes; Echeneidae.